Molecule: long non-coding RNA, 177 nt
Organism: Myotis davidii
Lineage: Eukaryota; Metazoa; Chordata; Mammalia; Chiroptera; Vespertilionidae
Exons: 3
Source: RefSeq, a predicted model, not a curated record
AAGAUGCUUAAGACCUGUUUUAAAGAAACAAAAGCAGGUUGUAAGUAGGAUUUUGUGUUUUCUGUGGUAAUGCAUGUGUAAACACAAAACAUUCAGCAUUGGUAACUAAAUUAUAUAAUUGGGUGCAUUGAGGCUUUGUAGUCAUGAGUUGGUGGGUGAAUUUCUUGAAGGGGAACU